Molecule: ribosomal RNA, 254 nt
Filed under: uncultured bacterium
Lineage: Bacteria
Description: partial 16S ribosomal RNA
Rfam family: Bacterial small subunit ribosomal RNA
Source: RNAcentral
GCGGACGGGUGAGUAAUGUCUGGGAAACUGCCUGAUGGAGGGGGAUAACUACUGGAAACGGUAGCUAAUACCGCAUAACGUCGCAAGACCAAAGAGGGGGACCUUCGGACCUCUUGCCAUCGGAUGUGCCCAGAUGGGAUUAGCUUGUUGGUGGGGUAACGGCUCACCAAGGCGACGAUCCCUAGCUGGUCUGAGAGGAUGACCAGCCACACUGGAACUGAGACACGGUCCAGACUCCUACGGGAGGCAGCAUG